This 330-nucleotide ribosomal RNA is filed under the name Triticum aestivum (bread wheat). Its description in RNAcentral is "partial small subunit ribosomal RNA". The record is from RNAcentral. Lineage: Eukaryota; Viridiplantae; Streptophyta; Magnoliopsida; Poales; Poaceae.
AUGGAGUGGCCCUGUCCGCACCAACCUCCCAGCAAUCUUCACACAAAGACGACUCUACAGCCCCUCGAUGGACACGAAGGUAUACCACACUCUGAGCAUUCCUUAAAUGUGAUUGAUAGGGGGGAAAUUGCUCUUCUGAAAGUAGCUAAACAAAAUUUGGGAACCUCGCUUGAGCGGAUGCUCUCUUACGCAUCUCUUCGAGCUCUGCUGCAGGCGCCCUUGGAGCCACAAAUCAGCAUGAGCAGCAGCUUCGGUUCUUUGCAAGUUCAGAUUAUUUCGCCAUCGACGUCGACCCAGAGCAUCAAGCUUUCCCCCAUGCAUCUUCUUUGA